This 610-nucleotide long non-coding RNA is filed under the name Rattus norvegicus (Norway rat). RNAcentral describes it as "long non-coding RNA NONRATT015526". The record is from RNAcentral. Lineage: Eukaryota; Metazoa; Chordata; Mammalia; Rodentia; Muridae.
GGCGGCGGCGGUGCGGGUGAGGUGCGAGGCGAAGCGCGCAGCGUGCAACUCUGGAGGAGCGGAUGUUAAGUCGGAGUACAGCAGAAAAUGUCCACCGAACGAACUUCAUGGACAAACCUGUCCACUAUUCAGAAAAUAGCCCUGGGCCUGGGAAUUCCAGCAAGUGCGACAGUUGCCUACAUCCUGUAUCGUCGAUACAGGGAAAGUAGAGAAGAGAGAUUGACAUUUGUUGGAGAAGAUGACAUUGAAAUAGAGAUGCGAGUUCCCCAAGAAGCUGUGAAGCUCAUCAUUGGUCGACAAGGAGCCAAUAUUAAACAGGUAAGUGUGUGAGCAGGCUGAUGGCUUUUCCAGGCAUCAAAUCUAUUUAUUGACUCCUUGUUUCCUUCCUCUGAUCACAUUUUACAGAACACCCAUGAUACACAUAUUUUUAAAAUAAAAAAAUUCAGGAACUUACUAAGCUAACUGCAUGUUUUCCUUUUAAAUAUGAAAAAUUCUCAGAUGGUAGAUGACUAAGCUUGAAAUGGUAUUUGAUUGGAUGAUUCGUAACUUGAUAUAGCAGGAAUAGUUUCAUUAGGUAGUUAAUGAGCUUCCAUUAAAUGACAAUAAUGAA